ACAAGCGGAGGAGCAUGUGGUUUAAUUCGAUGAUACGCGAGGAACUUACCUGGGCUCGAACGUAAGAUGACUGUAGGUGAAAGCUUACAUCUCUUCGGAGCAUUUUUACGAGGUGCUGCAUGGUUGUCGUCAGCUCGUGCCGUGAGGUGUCGGGUUAAGUCCCAUAACGAGCGCAACCCUACCUUUAGUUGCCAUCAGGUAAUGCUGGGGACUCUAAAGGAACUGCCUACGCAAGUAGUGAGGAAGCGGGGAUGACGUCAAAUCAGCACGGCCCUUACGUCCAGGGCUACACACGUGCUACAAUGGCCGAUACAGAGGGCAGCUACCUGGUGACAGGAUGCAAAUCUCCAAAGUCGGUCUCAGUUCGGAUCGGAGUCUGCAACCCGACUCCGUGAAGUUGGAUUCGCUAGUAAUCGCGCAUCAGCCAUGGCGCGGUGAAUACGUUCCCGGGCCUU
Molecule: ribosomal RNA, 455 nt
Filed under: uncultured Sphingobacteriales bacterium
Lineage: Bacteria; Pseudomonadati; Bacteroidota; Sphingobacteriia; Sphingobacteriales
Description: bacterial SSU rRNA
Rfam family: Bacterial small subunit ribosomal RNA
Source: RNAcentral